AUCGCCGGAUGGAGGGUCGCUCCCGUGUCCGCGAAAGCGGGCGCGGGGGAGGAACUUCCGAACUUCACAGGGCAGGGUGCCGGUUCAAAGCCGCGCCGCUAACGCGGCCGGCCAUAGGCCGGGAGGCCGGGGCCAGACCCCCGGUCGACGGAUAGCGCCACAGAGAACAUACCGCCCGAAAGGGUAAGGGUGAAAAGGUGCGGUAAGAGCGCACCGCCCGCCGGGCGACCGGCGGGGCAGGGCAAGCCCCACCUGAAGCAAGGCCAAAGCGGCGUCCAGGAUGCCCGUCCACCCGCCUCGAGCGGGGACGCCAAGUGGGCCGCUGAGACAAAUGAUCCUCCAUCCGCCUCCGGGCGGGGGACAGAAUUCGGGGUACAGUCCGGCGAUAAAU
This 391-nucleotide RNase P RNA is filed under the name Elusimicrobiota bacterium. RNAcentral's name for it is "Elusimicrobia bacterium (hydrocarbon metagenome) RNase P RNA component class A". It matches the Rfam family "Bacterial RNase P class A". From Rfam's summary of the family: Ribonuclease P (RNase P) is a ubiquitous endoribonuclease, found in archaea, bacteria and eukarya as well as chloroplasts and mitochondria. Its best characterised activity is the generation of mature 5'-ends of tRNAs by cleaving the 5'-leader elements of precursor-tRNAs. Lineage: Bacteria; Pseudomonadati; Elusimicrobiota. The record is from RNAcentral.